GAACGGUUUAACAGCACCUCCACAUCACCUGCAUCAGAGUGUGUUUUCUGCUGGAAUCUGCUGUUCAGUGUGUGUUCGGUGUGUGUUCUCCUCUUCUCCAUCUGCGUCUACUGCCUCUGUCAGAAGAAAACUACAGGUUCUGGAGCUGAGAACAGACAUGUUGAGGCUGGUGAUGAAGUGUGUUAUGCUUCAUUAGACAUGCCUUCCACACAGCAACAAAGGCAGAGGAAUGAAAAAGGCUCAGAGUUCAGACUUCAGUAUUUAUUCUGAUGUCAGAACCAGCAGAAUGUAAAGUAGAGUAAACUAAAGUCAUUGUUCUUUAGUAGAAAUAUGAUUCAAAAGAGUGUUAAUGACAAUGUUCUGGCAUCUGCAUCCUAUUUUCAUUGAUUCUAAUAUUGUAAGUUUUUAAUGAU
Non-coding RNA from Danio rerio (zebrafish), 413 nucleotides. NCBI's taxonomy places the organism in Eukaryota, Metazoa, Chordata, Actinopteri, Cypriniformes, Danionidae. The record is from RefSeq and is a predicted model, not a curated record.